This 425-nucleotide long non-coding RNA is filed under the name Mytilus galloprovincialis (Mediterranean mussel). Lineage: Eukaryota; Metazoa; Mollusca; Bivalvia; Mytilida; Mytilidae. The record is from RNAcentral.
GUCACUUAUCGUUUACCAGUUAGAAAUGCAAAUCAGUUAUAUCAUAUACAAAAGGGGGGAUAACUCUCAUAUGGAGUCUCCGGAUAGCUUCGACUAAAAUUAUUCAUUUCAUCCUGAGGAUAUAACGAGCAAUUUGGUAAAAUAAAUUUGUCGGUUUCUUAUACGGUUGCGACAUAUAAGUGAUAACAAGAAAAACAGUGUUCGGGGAGAUAACUCUUACAUGGAAAAGAUUUUUGUUACGCGGUGUCAGUUUCAAAAGCGUAUUAACUCUUCGAUAUCAUAUACAAAAUAUCUAAGUGACAUCUUGUGAAACAAAAAGUAAGCGAAGGAAAGAAAAUUAGGCGGAAGAAAAAAAAUAAUAAUAAUCAGAAGAAAACCAAUAGGUCUUUCCACGGAAAAGUGGAAAGACCUAACAAGACUAAGAA